This 497-nucleotide ribosomal RNA is filed under the name uncultured bacterium. RNAcentral describes it as "partial 16S ribosomal RNA". It matches the Rfam family "Bacterial small subunit ribosomal RNA", at positions 28 to 507 of the family's 1533-position model. The record is from RNAcentral.
GAUGAACGCUGGCGGCGUGCCUAAUACAUGCAAGUCGAGCGAACAGACGAGGAGCUUGCUCCUCUGACGUUAGCGGCGGACGGGUGAGUAACACGUGGAUAACCUACCUAUAAGACUGGGAUAACUUCGGGAAACCGGAGCUAAUACCGGAUAAUAUAUUGAACCGCAGGGUUCAAUAGUGAAAGACGGUUUUGCUGUCACUUUUAGAUGGAUCCGCGCCGCAUUAGCUAGUUGGUAAGGUAACGGCUUACCAAGGCAACGAUGCGUAGCCGACCUGAGAGGGUGAUCGGCCACACUGGAACUGAGACACGGUCCAGACUCCUACGGGAGGCAGCAGUAGGGAAUCUUCCGCAAUGGGCGAAAGCCUGACGGAGCAACGCCGCGUGAGUGAUGAAGGUCUUCGGAUCGUAAAACUCUGUUAUUAGGGAAGAACAAAUGUGUAAGUAACUAUGCACGUCUUGACGGUACCUAAUCAGAAAGCCACGGCUAACUACGUG